AACGAACGCUGGCGGCAGGCCUAAUACAUGCAAGUCGAACGGAUGUAGCAAUACAUUAGUGGCGCACGGGUGCCUAACGCGUGGGAACAUACCCUUGAGUAAGGAAUAAUGACUGGAAACGGACACUAAUACCUUAUAAUGACUUCGGUCCAAAGAUUCAUCGCUCAAGGAUUGGCCCGCGUCUGAUUAGCUAGUUGGUGAGGUAACGGCUCACCAAGGCGACGAUCAGUAGCUGGUCUGAGAGGAUGAUCAGCCACACUGGGACUGAGACACGGCCCAGACUCCUACGGGAGGCAGCAGUAAGGAAUAUUGGACAAUGGGGGAAACCCUGAUCCAGCCAUGCCGCGUGAGUGAAGAAGGCCUUAGGGUUGUAAAGCUCUUUCAAUAGUGAAGAUAAUGACGGUAGCUAUAGAAGAAGCCCCGGCUAAAUUCGUGCCAGCAGCCGCCGUAA
Molecule: ribosomal RNA, 451 nt
Filed under: uncultured bacterium
Lineage: Bacteria
Description: partial 16S ribosomal RNA
Rfam family: Bacterial small subunit ribosomal RNA
Source: RNAcentral